Long non-coding RNA from Herpailurus yagouaroundi (jaguarundi), 2067 nucleotides. RefSeq lists it as uncharacterized. The transcript is spliced from 4 exons. The record is from RefSeq and is a predicted model, not a curated record. Lineage: Eukaryota; Metazoa; Chordata; Mammalia; Carnivora; Felidae.
AAGGUUGUAUUUAUUUAAGGUUUUCUCGUUCAAGGUGUGUUCAAGGUUACAUAGGUAGCCGGUCGCAGAGUUGUGGAUUCAGACCAAAGCAGACUGACUCUGUGUUCCUCCCUGUCUUCCUUGAGGACUCUGUCUUUAUCUCCAUAGAGACAGAGGUAGUCCUGCCGUCACAGUGGCCAUUAUGACAUGUAGGCCUUCAGGCAUUGCUUUAGAAACUGGUCCACUCAUAAUUUACCCCAGAACUCUUUUACUCCAUGAAGAUGCAGUUAGCGUCCCUAGGAGGCAGCAACAUGAUAGAGUGGGGUUCCAGUCUUACCCACCAACCCCCAGUACCAUCUGACCCAUCCCGUCUGUGCUCUCUUAUGUGAUUACGUAUAUUCCAGGUGGAGCCAAAUCUCUCUUUAGUGUCUUGUCUUCCACAAUAUACAUAAAACAGUGAUCUGAAAGUCAACCAAAUGCUGUCUUUCAAAAGGCCCUCUGAACAGACACAACAUUGCACGGUGCUAAAGAGGAAGAGUUUAGAUGUUUUAAGCAGAGAGAGCCAGAGAGCAAGACAGAGUCAGGGAUAGAGAAAGAGAGAGAUGGGUGACAGAGUGGGACACUCUCCUUUGAAAGUCAGCUGGAAUAUAGACGCCAGGUGUCUAUAUCCCAAGGGACUUGGGAGCCACCCAGGAGAACCAUUGACCUGAGGGCAGAAGGAACCAGGCGAGAUGCUUGUCAGUAACAAAAUUUGGUCACAAGUUGGGAAGAUGAAAUGACCAUUGUGAGUAUGGCCUGGUACAUUCAGGAGGCUGUGAGUAGAAAUUUAAAGAAGUCUUCAUAUAGUCUGCAACACUAUAGCAUAAGCAACACUGCUUGAUUGGUCACUCGUAGAGACAGAAAAAAGGCAUUCUUCCUCAUUUCUCUAUUUCCCGGGCAUUUAGCAUUCCUGAGUUCAUUGUGUUCCCCUGACCAAAGUAGUCGGUUCAUGGAUGACCACACAAUGCAACUGGAGCCAUUACUUGGUCUUUUGUAAAAGCAACUGGUAGGGAGGGGAGCUUAUGACCUCAGGGAUUUAAAUCUGGGAGAAGAUAGCCUUUUACUGCUGUGGCCCUCUUUUCAUCACAGGGCAUCUGCAAAUGAAGCCAUUGUGAAGGACGGCAGACCUGAGAGAGACCUCAUUUGAGCCUCUGGAUUAAUAUCCCUCCUUGCGUCAACCAGUCUGAUGUGGAUUUUCUGACCUUUGCUACCAAAGUGUUCACAGUGGGGCCGAUAGUGAUGGAUUGGGUCAUUUUUUAAGCUAGAUUUCGCAGGGAAAACCUCUCUAAGCAUCUGGAAGUCUGUGGAUCAAGGUGCUAAUAGCGUACCAUUUCCCAGGGAUGGGGUUAGAGGUGAAUAUUUUUUAAAGAAACAAUUAUUUCUUUGUUAAUAGGAAAAUAUUAUAUCUACAAUUUCAGCUUUUCCUAAAAUUGUGAGACAGUCAACUGAUCACACUGCUUCUUUGUCUCCAGCCACUCAGUAUUUGAGGUGUGGCAUUUGCUCCUGUAAACUCCCAGGGCUAAGUUGUGCGAGAGCUCACAGAUGUGUUUUGCACUUAUGCACACUUCAUUUGUCUUCCUCCUAUGAGGAGUUGUUGGCUUACUGUGGGAACAGCUGAAUCCUCUCUCGAGCCAUAGUCCUGAGGUUCCUUUGCGUUCCAUGAUCUUCUGUUUUUGCCUUUUCCCGAUGAAACCAUGAAUCACUGGAGAGCUACUUAGAAGAAUUGUGGAAGUGUGUACCUUCUAAAGCUGCACCUCUUCUGCUUUGUGUCAUACAUCCUACAUAUCCAGAAGUGGUCCCUACAUCCAGUGACAAGUUUCUUAUAAGACACAAACGAGAAGACACAGGACAGAAGGCCAUGUGACAACAGAGGCAGAGACUGGAACGAUGGGGCCACAAGCCAAAGAACACCUGGAGCCACCAGAAGGCAGAAAAAACAGGGAGGAUUUUCCCCUGGAGAUGGCAGAGGGAGCAGAGCCCUGCUGACCCCUUGAUUUCAUACUUCUGGCCUCCAAAGCUCUGAGAGGAUAAACUGUUUUAAGCACUCCU